Molecule: transfer RNA, 89 nt
Filed under: Phycisphaerae bacterium
Lineage: Bacteria; Pseudomonadati; Planctomycetota; Phycisphaerae
Description: tRNA-Leu
Rfam family: tRNA
About the family: Transfer RNA (tRNA) molecules are approximately 80 nucleotides in length. Their secondary structure includes four short double-helical elements and three loops (D, anti-codon, and T loops).
Source: RNAcentral
GCGCAAGUGGCGGAAUUGGCAGACGCGCCAGCUUGAGGUGCUGGUGGGAGUAAAAUCCCGUGGAGGUUCGAGUCCUCUCUUGCGCAUCA